Molecule: long non-coding RNA, 5689 nt
Filed under: Manihot esculenta (cassava)
Lineage: Eukaryota; Viridiplantae; Streptophyta; Magnoliopsida; Malpighiales; Euphorbiaceae
Description: long non-coding RNA (MESC_LNC000172)
Source: RNAcentral
AUUUAAUUUAAAAGAUUGAGUUUAGUUCCACUCACCUCUGGCUGACUCUGACAACACCGAAGCAGCUGAACUCACUGCUGGGGUCCUCGGUUCCUCGGGUCCGAACCUACACAGGUGGACUCAAAUGAGGGACCAAACAUACGUAAAUACAACUCUAAUAUACUCCCCAAAAACCCCCUAAAACAUCCUGAAAACAUCACCUAAAAACAUGCAAGAAAUGGCUGAACAGGGCACUUUCGGCGGCAGGUUCGGCGGCCGAAAGUCCCUCCAGAGCCGAAAGUCAGGCAGGUUCGGCGGCACCUUCGGCGGCCGAAACUCCCAAACAGAGACGAAAGUCUUCUUUCGGGGGCAAGCUUCGGCAGCCGAAUGCUGCCUCCACAAGGGGGUUCGGCGGCCGAAACUCCCUUCGGCGGCCGAGCCUGGUUUCUGCCAGAAGGGCAGAAACUUGGUUCACAUGAACCCCUUGCCUCCCAAAACUUCAAAUCAAGCAUAUAUCUCAAUCAAAUCAUGCAUACAAGUUCCUAGGGGUCUCAAACAGUCAUACACCCCAACUACAACACUUCAAACACACAAAAUCCACACACAUUGUUCAAAACAUCAAUAUAACCCAUAACUCAACAUAUACCCUAACAUGCAUUUCUACCCAUAGAUCUUGCAUAAAACUUAUUUAAAACACAUAAGGAGCUUAAGAUCGGCUCUUACCUCUUGAAGAUCGAGAGGGAGACGACCUAAACUUGGAGAUCCACGAAAAUGAGCUCCUGAGUUCCCAAAGCUCCAAAACUUGGUUUAAAUGCUCAAACUUGCAAAUGUGAGUUUAAAACUCAAGAAAAAUGGAAGAGAUUUGGAGGAAGAGCACAAGAGUUGCAAAGGGAAGGUCGGAAGCUUGCUGUGGCCGAAAAUGGGAGAAAACUCACCCGUUUCGGCUAAGUGCCCCUUUUAUAGGUGGCUGGCCAGGCCACGUUCGGGGGCCGAAUGCGCUCCCGCAUCCAUGCAAUGUUCGGCGGCCGAACUUGACUUUCGGCGGCCGAAACUGGACUUCCCUAACUCAUGCUUUUGGGGGCCUAACGUGCCUCCAUAAUGCAUGCAUGUUCGGCGGCCGAACUUGGCUUUCGGCGGCCGAACCUGGGUUUUCCUCCAAAGACUUUUCAUGCAAAAACUCAUUUAAUUUCAUACUUAAAACCAUUAAAAACAUGAAAACAUUUUACAAAAACAUGAUUUUACCCUUCUAGAGGUCUCCGACAUCCGGGAUCCCCGGAACGGUAGGAAUUCCGAUACCGGAGUCUAGCCGGGUAUUACAUGCCAUAUCUCAUCUGAUCUCAUAGUAUCUCUGCUUAUAUCAAGGACUAAGGAUCAUCCAACAUUCAUCCAUACAAAUAUCAUCUUAUGCAAUGCAUCAUAUUCGUGAAGUCUAAUGCAAUACAACCUAAUACAUAACAUGGCAUUUUAUGAUGCAUGAACCAUGCUAGAAACGUGUCAUUUCUAAAGUAAAAUAUGAAGAUUCGUUCCACUCACCUGUAGCCACUGCUUGGCUAACUCUGGGCUACCUCGAACUCUGAAGCAGCUACUACUGCUAAAUACCUCGGUUCCUCGGGUCCAAUCCUACAAUGAAGGACUCAAAUGAGGUACCAAACGUACUCCAACAUUACUCUGAACAUCUCCCUAAAAAUCCCUAAAAACACCUCAAAACAGGCAUGCAAAACAAUUAAAGGAAGGCUGGACAGGGCACCUUCGGCAGCACCUUCGGCGGCCGAAUGUCUCUUUCAGAGACGAAAGUCGGGCAUGUUCGGCAGCCGAAUCCUCCUUCGGCUGCCGAACCUGGGUUCAUCCAGAACUCAGCUUCGUGCACAAAGACGCCUUCCAGUCCUUCCAAACCCUUAACACAUGCAGCCAACCUUUCUAAAACAUGCAUAACUCAUACAACAAGCAUAUAGGAGCUUAAGACAACUUGAACUCUAACAAACAAGCUCAACAAGCAAACAUAAAGCAUAAAGGGUCCAUAAACCCUAAUAUGCACAACUCAUGCAUAAACUCCCUUUUCCCUUCAUCAAACUCAUAAAAACAUCAUAAAAACCAUGAAUCACCACUUACCUCUUGAAGAACAAAGGUUGGUGUGAUCCAAACGUAGAGCUCUGGAGGAUCUAAGCUCCAAACUUUCCAAAAUUGUGCUCAAAGUACAAGACCUUCAAAAACCACCAUAAACCUUACUCACUUUGAAAGAUUUGAUGAAAAACCAUGAAAACCUUCCAAGGGGAACAUGAACUCACCUCUGGAAGUGAAAAGGAAGCUAAUCUGAUCCAUUUCACCGACUGAGGGUUCCUUAUAGGCGACUGACCGCCUCAGCUUCGGCGGCCAAACCUGCAUGCAAAACCAUGCAACGUUCGGCGGCCGAACUUGGAGUUUCGGGGGCCGAAUCGAGGGCAUUUUCGGCGGCCGAACCCGCACUUUAUUCCCUUGGUCUUUUCUCUUCAACACUCAAUCCUAUUCCAUUCUAAACCUUUAAAACAUUUGAAAAUAUUUUAGAAAACCUUUCUCUUACCCUUCUAGAACCUCUGACAACUUCGAAUUCCACCGGACAGUAAGAAUUUCGAUAUUUGAUCUAGCCGGGUAUUACACGUAACUCUUGAGCCCUUUUAAUUAGUAUUUGGUAUAAUAGACUUUAAAAUUUAAUUUUCUCUUUUAAUUACGCACAUCGACAUCCUAUGACAAUAUUUAUAUUAUUAUUUUACUUUGAGUUCUCAUUUUUAAUGGGUAACUCAUUAGCGUUCUGAAAUAUUUUAGUUGCAUAUAAUUUUAAUUUAUAAUUUAUUUUAUUUAUUUAUGUUAUGUGCUUAUUAUAGAGACAUCUAGCCAUACAUUAUCAUUACUAAAAUUAUAGAAGGUCAGAUGGUUGAACCAUAAACCUUCCAUAUUCAGUUACUAUGCAAUAAACUCUUUUUAUCUUUUUAUAUCAAUCUCUGUUAACUAUAAGUUUUGUGUCAUGUAUAUCUUGAAAAAAUUAAAAUCUCUGAUCUAAUUAUGUUCUCAUGAUUCUUAUUCAAUAAGUGACACCACUCUAGACAGAGAUUUAUUUCAAUAAUGAUAUAAUUAUACCUUACUAUUAAUUUAAGUAUGGUGAAUCAUUUAUUGAUCAGUACUUCUCGAUAAAGUAUAAGCCUUUGUACUUAGAUAUACUUAAAAAUCUCAAAUCUAAGGAUAUUUAUAUAAGCGGUAUGAGAUAAUAUAUUUAUUUAUAUCAAGUUUGGGUCUCCUAUGUAUCUUCAAAUAAGCAUCCAUUUGUUAAAUCUAAACAUCUUAUGCUUUCAGUUUACUAGAACAACUACUUGUAUAACAUAUGCUAGCCUAUCUAUAUCAAAGAAAUCCCAUUUUAUUAAUAUUAUGGUUAGAAAUAAUUUAAAUAUUAACACAUUUACAUGUAAUAACAAUCUUAUAUCAUAAACUCUUUAGGAUUUCCUCUACACUAUGUCUUGUAAUACUAAAGAUUUUAUUUUUAAUUUAAAAACUAAAUUAAAUAAAUGAAAUUAAUUAUAAAUACUAAUAAAUAAAGAAUAUUAUUAAUAAUAGAUAGUUUUCCCUAUUACAAUAUCUCACUGCCAUAUUCUUGGGCAAGAACCUGCAAAAAGUUGCAAAGUACAGGGAAAAGUGCUUGAAGAAGCAUAGGAAAAGUAGAAAUUGAAAUGGGCACAUGGUUAGCAAAAUCAAAACUCACUUGAAUCCUAUAGCGUCAGCACAUGCUCUAAGCUUACUAUGCAAAUUUGUAUUUAAAAGUAAUGAUUUUAAUGAGUUGAGGUAUUUCUUAGGUCUUAAAUUUUAUUAAGAUAUGUAAAGGAUAAAAAUGAUAUAGCUUAGGCGUCUAAGUAUAUAUUUAGUGUUUAAAAUUUUUUCCUAAAAUGACAAUUGUAGUAAUCACAAGCACUAUUCUUUAAAUUUCUUACUCAAAUCUGUAUAAAUGUGUUAGAUUUUUUAUUUUGAUUAACGUGCCGAUAAUUUUUAAAAUAAUCAAUUAGCUUAAUCACCAAAAUAUAAAAUCUUCUUAGGUCAUACGGUUACUAUAAUUAUAAAUUUAAUGUGUUUGAUUACUAUAAUUACAAGUUUAGUGGAUAAAUUUAAAUUUCUUUUAAAUCAAUGUUGAUUUUUUACUAUAAUUUCGCUUCAAAAAAUUUGAGAUAUAUAAUCCAAAAUUAAAAUGCUUAAUAUAAUCUCAACUUUACAUUAACAUUUAGUGUUUUGCAUAUGAUUACCUUUUAAUUUAUAUAAAAAAAAAAUUACAUAUUAAUUUUUAAAUUUUGAUUAGUUAUGUGUACAAACAAGAAAUUUAGAAUUCAACCAUAAUCAAGCUACAUAUUUUCUUUUAGAGAGAGAAAAUCCUCUCAAAGUCUUCCAUUAGUUUUGAUCUCAGUAGGGCCAAGUCAUUGUGUGUAACGACCCGAAAAUCGGACCGCUACCGGCGCUAGGAUCUAGGUCGGCAUAAGGCCGCCGGAACCCAUAGCAAGCCUGACAUAAAACCUGUAAACCUGCUGAAUCUCAUACAUGAUCAAGAAUAUACAUAAAAAUUUAAAACUUUUCUUUCAUACAUUCUCUCAUACACCAAACUCAACCUGUGCAUGCACUGAACAUAAACAUAAUCAUAACCAUGACCCCUCUAUGGGAUCUCAUCAAUGCCCCAAUGGGCGAUACAACAUAUGUUGAGUUGGUUUACAUAAACAUCACAAAACAUCUAAGAUCAUGUAUAAAAAGGGAUACCUCACACAUUGGGUCAAGCACAUUCUCUAACCUUCAAUAUCAUCACAUACAUUACUAUUCAUAACUUUACAUCAUUUUACAAUUUAUCAUGUCCACACUCUAUCUAUUACAAACACAUGACUUCAUGACUCUUGCCGACCUCCUGGUCUACCUUGUACAUGCAAACCUGGGGGAUUAGGGAGAGGGGUGAGCUACUAGAGCCCAGUGAGCAGAAUAAAUAAAAAAAACAUUUAAAACAUAUGGUAACAUGGAAUGCAUCACAUCACAGCUAAUCACAUCAAGGAUGAACUUGUCACCAAUAGCCCUCUACAUAGUCCAACUGUGCCAGAACGUAGAAUGGGUCCUGAUCUUUCUCUUACAUUGCCAGAACGUAGAAUGGGUCCUGGUCUUUCUCUUACAUAGUGCCAGCGAACGUAGAAUGGGUCCACUGGUCUUACAUUCCGUACCGUACAUAUCACAUCGUCACAUCAUAGAUCGAGGGCUAUGGAUCAUCCAACAUUCAUCCACAUCAACAUGAAAAUAUGCAAUGCAACAUAUUCGUGAAUUCUAAUGCAAACAACCUAAAUCAUCACAUGGCAUUCAUGAUGCAUGAACAUGCUCAAACUUUACAAUUGAUUUACUUUAAAACGUAAAGGUUUAUUCUACUCACCUCUGGAUAGCUCUGACUAGACACUGGAGCAGCUAACUCACUGCUGGGGUCCUCGAUUCCUCGGGUCCGAACCUACACAGGUGGACUCAAAUGAGGGACCAAACAACUAGAAUAUAACUCUAAAAACAUCUCCCAAAAACCCUCUAAAACUCCUCAAAACAUCCAUGCAAAAACAUACAAAGGAAGGCUGGACAGGGCACUUUCGGCGGCAGGUUCGGAGGCCGAAAGUCCCUCCAGAGCCGAAAGUCAGGCAAGUUCGGCGGCACCUUCGGCGGCCGAAACUCCCAGACAGAGACGAAA